UAUACAGCAUACUACAUCAGGUACAUUGUUCCAUUUAGUGCCAGGAUAUACAGCAUACUACAUCAGGUACAUUGUUCCAUUUAGUGCCCGGAUAUACAGCAUACUACAUCAGGUACGUUGUUAAUGUGCCCCAAUGUAUGAUUAGCUUUUACUUGGGGUACAUGUGGUCACUCUCACUGGAUGCUGUAAGAUAAGGAGAGAAAGCAUGCGAUGGAUGUUCAUGUGGUUGCUGUCACUGGAGCAUUUAAAAAACAUAACAUGCAAAAAUUGUUGAUAGUACUGUUAGAAUCAACAGGUUAUUGCUUGUACAAAAAAUUUCAACAUUCAGAUUUUUAGCUUAAUAAUUGGAAGAAUAGUCUGUGUUAUCUCUGCUCAAGCCUGUCAGAUUCCUUUGUUCCUUACAAUUGAUUAAUUGAUUAAAAAUUUGCUUUUGCUUUCUGCAUAACUGUAACCUUCACCAUUGUUCACAAAGUUUUCAUACUUUUUCAGAGUCCAUCCAGCAAAAGAAAGAAAACCAGUUUUUGAGAGAAGCAUUGGCUAACGAGCAUGCAAAUAACAUAUUUUCAGCCUGCAUGAAUCAGAAUAGAAUGCUCCAGAGAUUGCUGGCGAGGUCAUUGAAUCAGACGUGUCAAAAGUUUCCUUGAUUGACGAUGAUCACUACAGACCUAGACGGGGAAUCCAAAUCGAAAAAUUGUUCUUCUUACAAGUACUGAACAUGGAGCCAUGUGCGAUUACAAAGGCCAUUAACACAAAAAUACAUACAAUGACCAGGGCCAUCAACAUGAAACAUGUAUGAACUAUUUAUUGUGAACAAAAUAUAUGAUGGAUUAUUUGCCGUUUUUAGCUCGACUAUACGAAGUAUAAGGAGAGCUAUCCUACUCGCCCCGGCGUCGGCGUCUUUCCGCGUCCCCACCUUGGUUAAAAUUUUGGUGCACUUUCUCUUUUUUCAACUUAUCUCUGUAAUUACUUGGAUUUGAUUCAAACUUGAAAUACUUAUUCCUCAUCAUCAUCCACAUCAUCUGACAUAAGGGCCAUAACUCUGGCACCAAUAUUUCAUGAAUUACCACCCCUUUUCACUUAGAUUUUCAGGUUAAAGUUUUGAUGCACUUUCACUCUAUCUCUGUUAUUACUAAAUGGAUUUGAUUCAAACUUAAAAUAGUUGUUCAACAACAUCACCCACAUCAUAUGACACAAGGUGCAUAACUCUGGCACCAUAUUUUCAUGAAGUAUUCCCCCUUUUUACUUAGAAUUUCAGGUUAAAGUUUUGGUGCACUUUCACUAUACCUCUGUUAUUACUGAAUGGAUUUGAUUCAAACUUAAAAUAGUUGUUCAGCAUCAUCACCCACAUCAUAUGACACAAGGUGCAUAACUCUGGCACCAUAUUUUCAUGAAUUAUUCCCCCUUUUUACUUAGAAUUUCAGGUUAAAGUUUUGGAGCACUUCCACUCUACCUCUGUUAUUACUGAAUGGAUUUGAUUCAAACUUAAAAUAGUUGUUCAGCAUCAUCACCCACAUCAUAUGACACAAGAUGCAUAGCUCUGGCACAAUUUUUCAUGAAUUAUUCCCCUUUUUACUUAGAAUUUCAGGUUAAAGUUUUAUGCACUUUCACUCUAUAUCUGUUACUACUGAAUGUAUCUGAUUCAAACUUAAACAAUUGUUCAACAUCAUUACCCUUAUCAUAUGACACAAGGUGCAUAACUCUGGGGCCAAUUUUUCAUGAAUUAUUUCCCCUUUUUACUUAGAAUUUUAGGUUAAAGUUUUGAUGCACUUUCGCUCUGUCUCUGUUAUUACUAAAUGGAUUUGAUUCAAACUUAAAAUAGUUGUUCAACAUCAUCACCCACACCAUAUGACACAAGGUGCAUAACUCUGGCACCAAUUUUUCAUUAAUUAUUCCCCCUUUUUACUUAGAAUUUUAGGUUAAAGUUUUGAUGCACUUUCACUCUGUCUCUGUUUUGAUUCAAACUUAAAAUAGUUGUUCAACAUCAUCACCCACACUAUAUGACACUUAUAUAGUGUUUUGAUACAUUUUAUCUUUACCUCUCUUAUUACUUUAAGUUGAUAUUUUUGACAUAGACUCAGGCUAUUGUGCAAUAUCUUCAUCCACAAUUGGAGUCAUUAAACACUCCAGUGACAGCUCUAGUUUCCUCAGAUGUGCCCAGUUUCACUAUCAAGCAUCGAAAUAGUCGAGCACGCUGUCCCCUGUGACAGCUCUUGUUUUAUUAGAACUAUUAUAAAAGUUCAUUGAGAUAUUGCUUUCAUAUUUUGCAUACUUGUUUACCAUCAUGACCCCAUUGUGUAAACAGGAGCAGACAACUCUAUCAUGCAUUUUGACUGGAUUAUGGCCCCUUUUUGUACCCCCCCC
This is a long non-coding RNA of Mercenaria mercenaria, 2361 nucleotides long. RefSeq lists it as uncharacterized. The transcript is spliced from 3 exons. The record is from RefSeq and is a predicted model, not a curated record. Lineage: Eukaryota; Metazoa; Mollusca; Bivalvia; Venerida; Veneridae.